RNAcentral lists this ribosomal RNA (548 nucleotides) under uncultured Glomus. RNAcentral describes it as "SSU rRNA". It matches the Rfam family "Eukaryotic small subunit ribosomal RNA", at positions 548 to 1098 of the family's 1831-position model. Lineage: Eukaryota; Fungi; Glomeromycota; Glomeromycetes; Glomerales; Glomeraceae. The record is from RNAcentral.
UUGGAGGGCAAGUCUGGUGCCAGCAGCCGCGGUAAUUCCAGCUCCAAUAGCGUAUAUUAAAGUUGUUGCAGUUAAAAAGCUCGUAGUUGAAUUUCGGGAUCAGACUGUCGGUCGUGCCUCGGUACGCACUGGCAUUAUUGGUUCCUACCUUCUGAAGAACCGCGAUGUCAUUAAUUUGGUGUCGCGGGGAAUCAGGACUGUUACUUUGAAAAAAUUAGAGUGUUUAAAGCAGGCGCACGCUUGAAUACAUUAGCAUGGAAUAAUGAAAUAGGACGUUUGAUUCUAUUUUGUUGGUUUCUAGGAUCGACGUAAUGAUUAAUAGGGAUAGUUGGGGGCAUUAGUAUUCAAUUGUCAGAGGUGAAAUUCUUGGAUUUAUUGAAGACUAACUACUGCGAAAGCAUUUGCCAAGGAUGUUUUCAUUAAUCAAGGACGAAAGUUAGGGGGUCGAAGACGAUCAGAUACCGUCGUAGUCUUAACCAUAAACUAUGCCGACUAGGGAUCGGAUGAUGUUAAUUUUAUAAUGACUCAUUCGGCGCCUUACGGGAAAC